UCCGAGUUGACCCCGGCAGUCUCCUAUGAGUCCCCACCAUAACGUGCUGGCAACAUAGAACGAGGGUUGCGCUCGUUGCGGGACUUAACCCAACAUGUCACCACACGAGCUGACAACAGCCAUGCAGCACCUGUCUCUCUGCUGUAUUGCUACAGAAGCCCUAUCUCUAGGGAUGUCAGAGGAUGUCAAAUCCAGGUAAGGUUCUUCGCGUUGCUUCGAAUUAAACCACAUGAUCCACCGCUUGUGCGGGCCCCCGUCAAUUCCUUUGAGUUUUAGUCUUGCGACCGUACUUCCCAGGCGGGGUACUUAGUGCGUUAGCUCCGGUUCGGCGGUGGUCAAGACCCACCAAACCUAGUACCCAUCGUUUACAGCGUGGACUAC
RNAcentral lists this unclassified non-coding RNA (381 nucleotides) under uncultured Oligoflexales bacterium. RNAcentral describes it as "contains 16S-23S intergenic spacer region". Lineage: Bacteria; Pseudomonadati; Bdellovibrionota; Oligoflexia; Oligoflexales. The record is from RNAcentral.